UUUUUUGUUUCCCUUUAGUACCGGCGCGAACUAGGGUUACUUCAGGAGGGAGCUUGGCUUGACGCCCGGUCGAAGGUACAUGCCUCCCGAGGAGCCAGUAUUGGUUAUCCCAAGAAAAGCCGGAUGGAUGAUAAGCCCAGGUGAAAUACUGGUCCAUGCUAUUGAAGUACGCUACCAGGUAGAGGUGGGUCUGGGGGGAUCCCGCCUGUUCUAGCCGGCCAGUUCUAUGGCGCACAGGAGAAUUUGUCAUGGCGCAGCUGACCAGCAUCUCGUCAGAAGCGUCUAUGAUGGAACAGUUCUUCGGGAGAACCUCUACGGUAGAGCUGACGUCCGUAGAAAAGAUCGCUACUCCGGCAGCAGCGCGGAAUCGGAGAUCAACGUGUCGGAAUCAUUGGUUUAAGGUCUGUAGCGGUCUUUAGUCAGUGUGAAACCCAUCGUCUACGGGGAACGGCCAUGAUACGCUGACUUAAUUUUGUGAAGCACUAGAUAUUAGGUAGCGUGAAAGGUUAGAGAUUACAUGGAAGCCAAUUGGAAGGCAGGUGCUACCAAUGGAUUAACGCUGAUGGCGAAAGCGUGGGUAGCGCACAGGAUUAGAUACCCUGGUAGUCCACGCUGUAAACGAUGGAUUCUAGCUGUUGGGAGCAAGUUCAGUGGCUAAGUGAAAGUCAUAAGUAUCCCACCUGGGGAGUACGAACGCAAGUUUGGACUCAAAGGAAUUGACGGGGGCCCGCACAAGCGGUGGAGCAUGUGGUUUAAUUCGAUGAUACGCGAGGAACCUUACCAAGGCUUAAAUGCAGACUGACCGGUUUGGAAACAGACCUUUCGCAAGACGGUCUACAAGGUGGUGCAUGGUAGUCGUCAGCUCGUGCCGUGAGGUGUCAGGUUAAGUCGUAUAACGAGCGCAACCCCUGUUGUUAGUUGCCAGCGAGUCAUGUCGGGAACUCUAGCAAGACCGCCAGUGCAAACUGUGAGGAAGGUGGGGAUGACGUCAAAUCAUCACGGCCCUUACGCCUUGGGCUACACACGUGCUACAAUGGCCGGUACAGAGAGCAGCCACCCCGCGAGGGGGAGCGAAUCUAUAAACCCGGUCACAGUUCGGAUCGGAGUCUGCAACUCGACUCCGGGAAGCUGGAAUCGCUAGUAAUCGGAUAUCAGCCAUGAUCCGGUGAAUACGUUCCCGGGCCUUGUACACCCCGCCCGUCAAGCCAUGGAAGCUGGGGGUGCCUGAAGUCGGUGACCGCAAGGAGCCGCCUAGGGAAAGGGGGGGGG
This 1269-nucleotide ribosomal RNA is filed under the name Flavobacterium sp. SL178. RNAcentral describes it as "bacterial SSU rRNA". The stretch from base 232 to 1269 matches the Rfam family "Bacterial small subunit ribosomal RNA". The record is from RNAcentral. Lineage: Bacteria; Pseudomonadati; Bacteroidota; Flavobacteriia; Flavobacteriales; Flavobacteriaceae.